RNAcentral lists this transfer RNA (76 nucleotides) under Variovorax sp. PBS-H4. Its description in RNAcentral is "tRNA-His". It matches the Rfam family "tRNA". From Rfam's summary of the family: Transfer RNA (tRNA) molecules are approximately 80 nucleotides in length. Their secondary structure includes four short double-helical elements and three loops (D, anti-codon, and T loops). Lineage: Bacteria; Pseudomonadati; Pseudomonadota; Betaproteobacteria; Burkholderiales; Comamonadaceae. The record is from RNAcentral.
GUGUCGGUAGUUCAACGGCCAGAACCCCGGGUUGUGAUUCCGGUAGCGGCGGGUUCGAUUCCCCCCUGACACCCCA